AAUAAGCAUAUCAAUAAGCGGAGGAAAAGAAACCAACCGGGAUUGCCUCAGUAACGGCGAGUGAAGCGGCAAGAGCUCAAAUUUGAAAGCUGGCUCCUUCGGGGUCCGCAUUGUAAUUUGCAGAGGAUGCUUCGGGUGCAGCCCCCGUCUAAGUGCCCUGGAACGGGCCGUCAUAGAGGGUGAGAAUCCCGUAUGGGGCGGGGUGUCUGCGUCCGUGUGAAGCUCCUUCGACGAGUCGAGUUGUUUGGGAAUGCAGCUCUAAAUGGGUGGUAAAUUUCAUCUAAAGCUAAAUACUGGCCGGAGACCGAUAGCGCACAAGUAGAGUGAUCGAAAGAUGAAAAGCACUUUGAAAAGAGAGUUAAACAGCACGUGAAAUUGUUGAAAGGGAAGCGCUUGCAACCAGACUCGCUCGCGGGGUUCAGCCGGGCUUCGGCCCGGUGUACUUCCCCGCGGGCGGGCCAGCGUCGGUUUGGGCGGCCGGUCAAAGGCCUCCGGAAUGUAGCGCCCUUCGGGGCGCCUUAUAGCCGGGGGUGCAAUGCGGCCAGCCUGGACCGAGGAACGCGCUUCGGCACGGACGCUGGCAUAAUGGUUGUAAACGACCCGUCUUGA
Molecule: ribosomal RNA, 609 nt
Filed under: Aspergillus terreus
Lineage: Eukaryota; Fungi; Ascomycota; Eurotiomycetes; Eurotiales; Aspergillaceae
Description: LSU rRNA
Rfam family: Eukaryotic large subunit ribosomal RNA
Source: RNAcentral